GUGGGGAGCUGUGAGGGGCGGAGCUGUGGAGCGGGAAGGAUGGGAGGGCUGCGCUUGGGGCUGCUUUUCACGAGGACGAGCCGUGGCAGGUGGAGGUGCUUGCACCGCUCUCCGUGUUUUGGCAGCGCAGGCUCUUGGAUUUAUGAGCCGCUUUGGGCUGAGGCUGUUUAUUUUUUGUUGUGCUCAGCAAUGUGAGCAUCUUCAGCGCCGUCCUGAACAGUUAUCUGUCAGAACAGAGUGCCAAUAGAAGCCCUUUUCCAGUCCGUCCGGUUCUGUGCUUCUGGGUGGAACAGACAUUUGUUAUGUUUAGAGGUGGUUUUGCUGAGACUUCUCGAUUCCUUGUGCCCCAGGUGCCAACGGCCGGCCCCAUUUCUGCCCGCAGCCUCAUUUAGUUGAGGGCAGGGCGCUUAUCCAGCUCUGAUCGAUCACAGCUGUACCUUAAUCAGUCAACUGCUGCAGCGCAGCCUCGGCGAGCCGUCCGUGUGCCCGCUGUGCUGCGGAGCGUUCCUCAGUCUGUUGUCUGGGCAAGGGCAGGGACUUGUGCGAGCUCUUUGUUUCUCCUGAUACGCAUUAAUUAUUGUCUCUCCGCUCCUCGCUGCCAUUUGUAAGUGGCAUUAAAGAAUCUAUUUUGCUUAUUCAGCUGGAGUUCUCAUCGGCAGCAAUUCAUAAGCUGCUUUAGAGUGGGUCAGUGCUGCUUAACCAGUGCAAGUGGUGCAGAACUUUUAACUGAGAUCUGGUGGUGUCACUGCAGUUUUGUUUCGUGUUGUAAUGGUCAUCUCCAUUCCCUUCUGCAGUGAGAAAAGUAACAGUUAUCACGUACAGAGCUUCAGUAUGUGAGAGGACCACUCUGCAUUGUCAUGAGAUGCAGAGAACUACGGGUCAAAACUUGGGUUUCCUUGUCCAGCUGUGCUGGUGGCACGCGCCCUGCAAUAUGAAGAUCUGCACCACUUGAGAACCUGCGUUUUCCAAGAGGCUCUCUGUGGAUAGCUGGUACUCUGCUCAGUGGGGAACGGUCAGAACAAGAGGGGUUUUCCCAAGGGCUGACAUUUCUGUAACAAUACCGUUUUCACUGAAACCAGCACUGGGAGUAAGAAGUGGGCAUCAGUAUUCUUGAGACAUCUAUCAAUGUCUACAGCAAGAUCCCAUCUGAUAAAGAAAUAGACAGUCUGAUUUGGGAAUGUGGACAUGCUAUAGAGAGCCCUUACAUGCAGAAACCUCUGCAAAGAGCCCUUCUUAUAGCAUUUACUGCUAACUACAGGUACCUGCAGGAAGGGUUAUUCAUGCUGUGCCUUGUUCCAGUGGAGAUGCCCAGUAUGUCAAAAAGGAGGAAGAAAAGUGCUUAGAAAAAACAGUAAAUACAUAAGGAUAAAUUAAUAUGACUGUAACAUACAAUUACAUGCCUCUUCUCUGCAUGCAUUAAGAAAUAUAGGGCUGGCCUGGGAGCUUUCUCCAGUGAGGCAUCUAAGUUUGUUUGGAAAGGGAGAGUAUAACAGAAGAAAUAUUUAAAAGAGCAAGAAUGAGACUCCUUUCAUCUUUUGAACAUCUUUCCCAAGAAUUUAUAAAUGAAUUGACUAAUAUUCAGUGAUAAAAUAAAAGAGUAACUGACUGGGUGUGCCUCGGGGCUGCCCUCAAAACGAGAUGUGCCGUCUGCAUGGAGCAUACCUGCUGUGUGCAUCUCCUGUGUGGCUGGAGGGCAGGCUGCAGAGCUCGGGAUGCUUUCUGCCUUUAGUUUUGUGUCUGGAAGGUUGGCUCCAGCACACCGUGCUGCCUGUCUGCUGCUGGGUCAUCAGAACAGGCACUCUGCCCACUGGUACUGGGAUCUGAUCAGGACGUGAUGUGACUGCAUGUGUGAGCACAGGGCUGCUGGCUGCUGCUGAGAUCUCCCAGCAGGGAGGUGGAAAUCUCUGCAUGCUAAAGCAUAGCUUUGAGCUAUCCCAGAUAUAUUUCCACCGCAGCAAUCUGCACUACAGUGCUGUCACUGCUGUGCCUGGGGGUGGAAUGAAGGUCUCUGGGCACACAGCGAUCACCUCACUGGAGUUUGUUCCUUGUAAUGCUGGAGCACAGCCUGGGAGAGCAGCGCUGCUCUGUGAUGCGUUCUGGUGUCAUUGCUGUACUGGGGGUUAGUGCUACACAGGUGACAAGUGUGUGUGUGUGCUCUAAGCACAACACAAGGCAGGGAAUGUGCAGGAUUUCGUGGUUCCUGAGAGUAUAUUCUUGACCAGAAGCUAAACAGACAA
Non-coding RNA from Phasianus colchicus (ring-necked pheasant), 2237 nucleotides. The record is from RefSeq and is a predicted model, not a curated record. NCBI's taxonomy places the organism in Eukaryota, Metazoa, Chordata, Aves, Galliformes, Phasianidae.